RNAcentral lists this ribosomal RNA (425 nucleotides) under uncultured bacterium. RNAcentral describes it as "bacterial SSU rRNA". It matches the Rfam family "Bacterial small subunit ribosomal RNA", at positions 354 to 796 of the family's 1533-position model. The record is from RNAcentral.
GUGGGGAAUAUUGGACAAUGGGCGAAAGCCUGAUCCAGCAAUGCCGCGUGAGUGAUGAAGGCCUUAGGGUUGUAAAGCUCUUUUACCCGGGAUGAUAAUGACAGUACCGGGAGAAUAAGCUCCGGCUAACUCCGUGCCAGCAGCCGCGGUAAUACGGAGGGAGCUAGCGUUGUUCGGAAUUACUGGGCGUAAAGCGCACGUAGGCGGCUUUGUAAGUUAGAGGUGAAAGCCUGGAGCUUAACUCCAGAACUGCCUUUAAGACUGCAUCGCUUGAAUCCAGGAGAGGUGAGUGGAAUUCCGAGUGUAGAGGUGAAAUUCGUAGAUAUUCGGAAGAACACCAGUGGCGAAGGCGGCUCACUGGACUGGUAUUGACGCUGAGGUGCGAAAGCGUGGGGAGCAAACAGGAUUAGAUACCCGAGUAGUCC